RNAcentral lists this ribosomal RNA (479 nucleotides) under Thinophilus nitens. Its description in RNAcentral is "partial 16S ribosomal RNA". The stretch from base 348 to 479 matches the Rfam family "Bacterial large subunit ribosomal RNA", at positions 2473 to 2604 of the family's 2925-position model. The record is from RNAcentral. Lineage: Eukaryota; Metazoa; Arthropoda; Insecta; Diptera; Dolichopodidae.
UGAUAAGUUUAAAGGCCGCAGUAUUUUAACUGUGCAAAGGUAGCAUAAUCAUUAGUUUUUUAAUUGAAGGCUUGUAUGAAUGAUUGGACGAGAUAUAAUCUGUCUCUAAAAAAUUUUUAGAAUUUUAUUUUUUAGUUAAAAAGCUAAAAUAAUUUUAAAAGACGAGAAGACCCUAUAGAUCUUUAUAUAAAAAUUUUUAUUUUUUUAUUAGAUUAUUUUUAAUAAUAAAAUUUAUUAUAUUUUAUUGGGGUGAUAUUGAAAUUAAAUUAACUUUCAAAAAUUAAUAAAACAGUGAUUUUUGAAUUAUUGAUCCUUUAUUAUUGAUUAAAAAUUUAAGUUACCUUAGGGAUAACAGCGUAAUUAUUUUGGAGAGUUCUUAUCGAUAAAAUAGAUUGCGACCUCGAUGUUGGAUUAAGAUUAAUUCUAGGCGUAGCAGUUUAGAAUAUUAAGUCUGUUCGACUUUUAAUUUCUUACAUGAU